CAUAAUAAUAACUUACACUUUACAGAGAAAUGAGCAUAAAUAUUUAAAUUUAAACCCAAUAAUAAGUUGUUGAGCUUCUACUUAAUAUAAUAUAAUAAUAUACCUAAUAUUAUUGUAUCAUGCAUUCAUGCAUAAUAUGAAUAUGUUUACAAAAAAACUGGAAACUGAAAAGUAAAUCAUACAUUUUCAUGGUAGACUUUAUCGACAUGCCAUGAACAAAAAAUGCGAUGUGGAACUGGGCCCAUUACAGUUUCCCAUGCUGAAUAAAAAGUUUCAACUAUAUCAGUCAUGAACAUUAGUAUACAUGAAACAACAUGGAAACCCUGAACCAAAGUCAUCGAUAACCAUUAAGGUAACUAACUCAAAAUCAUAUCCAUUAAGUCCAUGGGUCCCAUCAAGACAAACUACUUUUCCUUGUCCAAUUUUUUUUAGCAAGUGUCUUUGUCCUGGGUCCAUUAUGAUUAAACAAAAAUCAUUUAUUUCUAACUUUCCAGUAAUAUCAAUAACUCCUGAAAUUCACAUAAUUAUAUUUAUAUGAUUUUAUAUAAUUUUAAAUAUAUGUUGCUUACUUUGAAUUGUUCUUAAUUUUUUAAUUUCAAUUUCAUACUUAUUUUUAAAUAAAAAUUAAAUUACAUAUUAAAAUAAUGUUAUACUUACCUAUUCUAUUUUGUGUACCUA
This is a long non-coding RNA of Aphis gossypii (cotton aphid), 678 nucleotides long. RefSeq lists it as uncharacterized. The record is from RefSeq and is a predicted model, not a curated record. The transcript is spliced from 3 exons. Lineage: Eukaryota; Metazoa; Arthropoda; Insecta; Hemiptera; Aphididae.